UUUGAUCGUUAUAUCUGCAAGUAAAUCAAGGAUUAUACUAAAAUGGGGGGAGUUUGAUGGUGAUUUUAGUAUCAACAAUGUAUUUUGGUAGUAAUGUGAUUUACUAUAGGCCAAUGCAAUUAUGCGUUAAAUUUGAAACGAGUCAGGGUAGUGCGGAGUGCACGCUCGUCAAGUCAAACGUGUAAUUGAAUACGAAUAAUUGAAACGGGGUUUUCGAAAAGGUGUGCCUGUUCGUUUGAAUAGUCGUACCCUUUCCCAACAUACAUGACCGUUUGAAUAGUC
RNAcentral lists this long non-coding RNA (282 nucleotides) under Trifolium pratense (red clover). Its description in RNAcentral is "long non-coding RNA (TPRA_LNC006628)". The record is from RNAcentral. Lineage: Eukaryota; Viridiplantae; Streptophyta; Magnoliopsida; Fabales; Fabaceae.